GAAAUGCGAUAAUUAAUGUGAAUUGCAGAAUUCAGUGAAUCAUCGAGUCUUUGAACGCACAUUGCGCCCCCUGGUAUUCCGGGGGGCAUGCCUGUCCGAGCGUCAUUGCUGCCCUCAAGCACGGCUUGUGUGUUGGGCUUCCGUCCCUGGCAACGGGGACGGGCCCAAAAGGCAGUCGCGGCACCAUGUCUGGUCCUCGAGCGUAUGGGGCUUUGUCACCCGCUCCCGUAGGUCCAGCUGGCAGCUAGCCUCGCAACCAAUCUUUUUAACCAGGUUGACCUCGGAUCAGGUAGGGAUACCCGCUGAACUUAAGC
Molecule: unclassified non-coding RNA, 314 nt
Filed under: plant metagenome
Description: partial contains 5.8S ribosomal RNA, internal transcribed spacer 2, and large subunit ribosomal RNA
Rfam family: 5.8S ribosomal RNA (bases 1-105)
Source: RNAcentral